RNAcentral lists this ribosomal RNA (254 nucleotides) under uncultured bacterium. RNAcentral describes it as "partial 16S ribosomal RNA". It matches the Rfam family "Bacterial small subunit ribosomal RNA", at positions 524 to 776 of the family's 1533-position model. The record is from RNAcentral.
UACGGAGGGUGCAAGCGUUGUCCGGAUUUAUUGGGUUUAAAGGGUGCGUAGGCGGCUAAUUAAGUCAGCGGUGAAAUUCUACAGCUUAACUGUUAGAACUGCCAUUGAUACUGGUUGGCUUGAGUACAGAUGAGGUAGGCGGAAUUGACAGUGUAGCGGUGAAAUGCUUAGAUAUCGUCAAGAACACCUAUAGCGAAGGCAGCUUACUAGGCUGUAACUGACGCUGAGGCACGAAAGUGUGGGGAUCAAACAGG